This 585-nucleotide ribosomal RNA is filed under the name uncultured bacterium. Its description in RNAcentral is "bacterial SSU rRNA". It matches the Rfam family "Bacterial small subunit ribosomal RNA", at positions 140 to 745 of the family's 1533-position model. The record is from RNAcentral.
GGGACAACAGUUGGAAACGGCUGCUAAUACCCCAUACUCCAACUUAUCCUAAGAUAAGUUGGGAAAGAUUUAUUGCUAAAGGAUGGGGCUUUAUUUGUAUCAGCUAGUUGGUGGGGUAAUGGCCUACCAAGGCAAUGACGCAUACCUGGUCUGAGAGGAUGAUCAGGCACACUGGAACUGAGACACGGUCCAGACUCCUACGGGAGGCAGCAGUGGGGAAUAUUGCACAAUGGAGGAAACUCUGAUGCAGCAACGCCGCGUGGAGGAUGACGCAUUUCGGUGUGUAAAUUCCUUUUAUAAGGGAAGAUAAUGACGGUACCUUAUGAAUAAGCACCGGCUAACUCCGUGCCAGCAGCCGCGGUAAUACGGAGGGUGCAAGCGUUACUCGGAAUCACUGGGCGUAAAGGAUGCGUAGGCUGGAAAUCAAGUCGAGAGUGAAAUCCAACGGCUCAACCGUUGAACUGCUCUCGAAACUGGUUACCUAGAAUAUGGGAGAGGUAGAUGGAAUUAGUGGUGUAGGGGUAAAAUCCGUAGAUAUCACUAGGAAUACCGAUUGCGAAGGCGAUCUACUGGAACAUUAUGACG